This 926-nucleotide long non-coding RNA is filed under the name Mustela putorius furo (domestic ferret). RNAcentral's name for it is "lncRNA (ENSMPUG00000028373.1)". Lineage: Eukaryota; Metazoa; Chordata; Mammalia; Carnivora; Mustelidae. The record is from RNAcentral.
CGCAAAGUAGGCACCCUCCCCUCCAGAGCCCACAUAUGUUUUUAUGGAAAAGAUACAUUAGAGUUCUGUGGCCGAGAGGGAAAGAAGCUCUUCCUCAAAUCGCUAGCUCUGGAGAGACGGGCCUUUUCUACCAGUUAGAAAAUGGAGCCCCACCACCUUGGCCUUCAUCAGUUUGAAGACUUCACCUGAGCACACAGUCCAUCCCGCGUCCUCUCUACCUUGGCUCACAGCAUCAGUUUCCUGUUUCCGGUCCAGGGAAAAUUCCCAUCAUCCCAACCAGGGUGAAGAGGCGCGAACGGGAUCAUGGGAGAGUGUAAAAUGGCGUCGCCCAUGGUGGUGCCGCAGAGCGUCAGAAGUCUGUUGAGUGAGGCCUGCGGUAAACUUUACCGCAGACUUCCAGACUCAUGAGUUGUGUGAGCAAGCCUACUCACGUUCUGCUUUUAUUCUAUCUGGCGCUUUUUAAAGGAUCUUCUGCAAAGCUGUCGGAGCCCUAACAGCUAAUUGACAAUAACAGCAAGUGCAAGGCGGCAAAGCCGGCUUGUUAAAUGACCCAGGUAAAGGAAACGUUAAGUUCUGUGUGCUGAGGUGCCUAUUACAUGGGAGGCGCAAUUUAAGCUCAGAGAGGUUGAACAACAAACCCCAGGUCACAAAGUUUCCAAAUGGCAGAGACAGGAUGAAAACCUUAGUCGGUUUGUUACCGGGGUCCUUGCUUUUUUAACCACAUACCUUAAGAAGGAAUGAUAUUCCAGCCUGUGAAAUUGUGUGUUCUCACUGGGAGGUCAGAGAAUAAAGAAAUCACUGAACCCCUGAAUUCAAAAGCUCAAACAGGGUCAUUAUUGUGAAGAACUAAGGAAGUUAUAUCCUGCAAUGAAUAGUUCUGUGCAUUGUGGUUUUCUAAUGGGAGGCACACAGGCAGAGCGGAGGUG